Molecule: ribosomal RNA, 246 nt
Filed under: uncultured bacterium
Lineage: Bacteria
Description: partial 16S ribosomal RNA
Rfam family: Bacterial small subunit ribosomal RNA
Source: RNAcentral
GUAGGUGGCAAGCGUUGUCCGGAUUUAUUGGGCGUAAAGCGAGUGCAGGCGGUUUCAUAAGUCUGAUGUGAAAGCCUUCGGCUCAACCGGAGAAUUGCAUCAGAAACUGUUGAACUUGAGUGCAGAAGAGGAGAGUGGAACUCCAUGUGUAGCGGUGGAAUGCGUAGAUAUAUGGAAGAACACCAGUGGCGAAAGCGGCUCUCUGGUCUGUAACUGACGCUGAGGUUCGAAAGCGUGGGUAGCAAA